GAUGAACGCUGGCGGCGUGCCUAAUACAUGCAAGUCGAGCGAACGGACGAGAAGCUUGCUUCUCUGAUGUUAGCGGCGGACGGGUGAGUAACACGUGGAUAACCUACCUAUAAGACUGGGAUAACUUCGGGAAACCGGAGCUAAUACCGGAUAAUAUUUUGAACCGCAUGGUUCAAAAGUAAAAGACGGUCUUGCUGUCACUUAUAGAUGGAUCCGCGCUGCAUUAGCUAGUUGGUAAGGUAACGGCUUACCAAGGCAACGAUGCAUAGCCGACCUGAGAGGGUGAUCGGCCACACUGGAACUGAGACACGGUCCAGACUCCUACGGGAGGCAGCAGUAGGGAAUCUUCCGCAAUGGGCGAAAGCCUGACGGAGCAACGCCGCGUGAGUGAUGAAGGUCUUCGGAUCGUAAAACUCUGUUAUUAGGGAAGAACAUAUGUGUAAGUAACUGUGCACAUCUUGACGGUACCUAAUCAGAAAGCCACGGCUAACUACGUGCCAGCAGCCGCGGUAAUACGUAGGUGGCAAGCGUUAUCCGGAAUUAUUGGGCGUAAAGCGCGCGUAGCGGUUUUUAAGUCUGAUGUGAAAGCCCACGGCUCAACCGUGGAGGGUCAUUGGAAACUGGAAAACUUGAGUGCAGAAGAGGAAAGUGGAAUUCCAUGUGUAGCGGUGAAAUGCGCAGAGAUAUGGAGGAACACCAGUGGCGAAGGCGACUUUCUGGUCUGUAACUGACGCUGAUGUGCGAAAGCGUGGGGAUCAAACAGGAUUAGAUACCCUGGUAGUCCACGCCGUAAACGAUGAGUGCUAAGUGUUAGGGGGUUUCCGCCCCUUAGUGCUGCAGCUAACGCAUUAAGCACUCCGCCUGGGGAGUACGACCGCAAGGUUGAAACUCAAAGGAAUUGACGGGGACCCGCACAAGCGGUGGAGCAUGUGGUUUAAUUCGAAGCAACGCGAAGAACCUUACCAAAUCUUGACAUCCUUUGACAACUCUAGAGAUAGAGCCUUCCCCUUCGGGGGACAAAGUGACAGGUGGUGCAUGGUUGUCGUCAGCUCGUGUCGUGAGAUGUUGGGUUAAGUCCCGCAACGAGCGCAACCCUUAAGCUUAGUUGCCAUCAUUAAGUUGGGCACUCUAAGUUGACUGCCGGUGACAAACCGGAGGAAGGUGGGGAUGACGUCAAAUCAUCAUGCCCCUUAUGAUUUGGGCUACACACGUGCUACAAUGGACAAUACAAAGGGCAGCGAAACCGCGAGGUCAAGCAAAUCCCAUAAAGUUGUUCUCAGUUCGGAUUGUAGUCUGCAACUCGACUACAUGAAGCUGGAAUCGCUAGUAAUCGUAGAUCAGCAUGCUACGGUGAAUACGUUCCCGGGUCU
This 1370-nucleotide ribosomal RNA is filed under the name uncultured bacterium. RNAcentral describes it as "bacterial SSU rRNA". It matches the Rfam family "Bacterial small subunit ribosomal RNA", at positions 28 to 1381 of the family's 1533-position model. The record is from RNAcentral.